UACGUGAGGGGCGAACGUUGUUCGGUGUCACUGGGCUUAAAGGGUGCGUAGGUGGUUGCGUAAGUAACGUGUGAAAGCCCUCGGCUUACCCGGGGAAUUGCGCGUUAUACUGCGUGACUUGAGGAUUUCAGGGGAAAGGGGAACUCCAGGUGUAGCGGUGAAAUGCGCAGAUAUCUGGGGGAAGGCCGGCGGCGAAGGCGCCUUUCUGGGAAAUUCCUGACACUGAGGCACGAAAGCGUGGGGAGCAAACAGG
This 253-nucleotide ribosomal RNA is filed under the name uncultured bacterium. RNAcentral describes it as "partial 16S ribosomal RNA". It matches the Rfam family "Bacterial small subunit ribosomal RNA", at positions 524 to 776 of the family's 1533-position model. The record is from RNAcentral.